This 618-nucleotide long non-coding RNA is filed under the name Ananas comosus (pineapple). RNAcentral describes it as "long non-coding RNA (ACOM_LNC023733)". The record is from RNAcentral. Lineage: Eukaryota; Viridiplantae; Streptophyta; Magnoliopsida; Poales; Bromeliaceae.
UGUACAAUUAUAUAUGUACUGCACAAGUCUUUCUGGGCUUUUAUAAAUUAUUGGAAAAGGCACUAACAAUUUUUAAGGAGAAUAUCUAAUAUGUUCUUCAAAAAUUCUGAAAUAUCUUGCACGCUCCUACUUUUCUUUUGUUUCAAAUAUAAACUUCGUAUAUUUCUCUGUUAUUCAAAAAUAACUUUGCUAGCUGUUAAUACCUAGUAAGUCUUCUCGGGUUAAAUCUAGGUAAAAUUUUUACCGGAGUUAAAAAGAGAACUUUUGUCCCUAACUUAAUGGCAAAUAAGAAAAGUUAGUGAUGAUAAAAAGGUAUAUUUGAAAAAAAAAAAGUCAAAAUAUUUUUUUUUUACCCCCAAUCUAAGGCCAAAUAACAACAGUUGGUGGCAGUAGAAGCACAUAUUUGAAAAGACAAAAUAGUAAUUUUACAGAAAUAACGACUGCUCUUAAGAGUUUAUUAAUAGAAUUUAACACUAAAAGUAUAUUUAAAAUAACUUGAAACGUUGAAGUGUAGUUUUAAUAUUAGCUUUCUAAAAAAAAUAAAUAAGAAAGUCAAACACUUUUCAAUAAUAUAUAAGUAAUUGUCCCUAAUUUUUAAUUAAACCAUAUAUAGGUUAC